RNAcentral lists this ribosomal RNA (498 nucleotides) under uncultured bacterium. RNAcentral's name for it is "bacterial SSU rRNA". It matches the Rfam family "Bacterial small subunit ribosomal RNA", at positions 25 to 518 of the family's 1533-position model. The record is from RNAcentral.
CAGGAUGAACGCUGGCGGCGUGCCUAAUACAUGCAAGUCGAACGAGGUAGCAAUACCGAGUGGCGAACGGGUGAGUAACACGUAGGUAACCUGCCCUUAAGCUUGGGAUACCCAGAGGAAACUUUGGCUAAUACCGGAUAACAACAGAGAAGGCAUCUUCUUUGCUUGAAAGGCCCCUUCAAGGGUCACUUAAGGAUGGACCUGCGGCGCAUUAGCUAGUUGGUGAGAUAACAGCCCACCAAGGCGAGGAUGCGUAGCCGAACUGAGAGGUUGAUCGGCCACAUUGGAACUGAGACACGGUCCAAACUCCUACGGGAGGCAGCAGUAAGGAGUUUUCGGCAAUGGGGGAAACCCUGACCGAGCAACGCCGCGUGAGCGAUGACGGUCCUUUGGAAUUGUAAAGCUCUGUUGUAAGCCAUGAAUGACAGCUUGAGGAAAUGCAAGUUGUUUGACGACAGCUUACCAGAAAGCCACGGCUAACUACGUGCCAGCCGCCGC